GCGUUCUUAGCUCAGAUGGUAGAGCGCUACUAUGACAUGGUAGAGGGCGAUGGUUCAAAUCCAUUAGAACGCA
This 73-nucleotide transfer RNA is filed under the name Candidatus Blochmannia ocreatus (nom. nud.). Its description in RNAcentral is "Candidatus Blochmannia ocreatus tRNA-Val". It matches the Rfam family "tRNA". Rfam says of the family: Transfer RNA (tRNA) molecules are approximately 80 nucleotides in length. Their secondary structure includes four short double-helical elements and three loops (D, anti-codon, and T loops). Further hydrogen bonds mediate the characteristic L-shaped molecular structure. tRNAs have two regions of fundamental functional importance: the anti-codon, which is responsible for specific mRNA codon recognition, and the 3' end, to which the tRNAs corresponding amino acid is attached (by aminoacyl-tRNA synthetases). tRNAs cope with the degeneracy of the genetic code in two manners: having more than one tRNA (with a specific anti-codon) for a particular amino acid; and 'wobble' base-pairing, i.e. permitting non-standard base-pairing at the 3rd anti-codon position. Lineage: Bacteria; Pseudomonadati; Pseudomonadota; Gammaproteobacteria; Enterobacterales; Enterobacteriaceae. The record is from RNAcentral.